RNAcentral lists this ribosomal RNA (441 nucleotides) under Staphylococcus aureus. RNAcentral describes it as "partial 23S ribosomal RNA". It matches the Rfam family "Bacterial large subunit ribosomal RNA", at positions 1119 to 1561 of the family's 2925-position model. Lineage: Bacteria; Bacillati; Bacillota; Bacilli; Caryophanales; Staphylococcaceae. The record is from RNAcentral.
UCAUUUAAAGAGUGCGUAAUAGCUCACUAGUCGAGUGACACUGCGCCGAAAAUGUACCGGGGCUAAACAUAUUACCGAAGCUGUGGAUUGUCCUUUGGACAAUGGUAGGAGAGCGUUCUAAGGGCGUUGAAGCAUGAUCGUAAGGACAUGUGGAGCGCUUAGAAGUGAGAAUGCCGGUGUGAGUAGCGAAAGACGGGUGAGAAUCCCGUCCACCGAUUGACUAAGGUUUCCAGAGGAAGGCUCGUCCGCUCUGGGUUAGUCGGGUCCUAAGCUGAGGCCGACAGGCGUAGGCGAUGGAUAACAGGUUGAUAUUCCUGUACCACCUAUAAUCGUUUUAAUCGAUGGGGGGACGCAGUAGGAUAGGCGAAGCGUGCGAUUGGAUUGCACGUCUAAGCAGUAAGGCUGAGUAUUAGGCAAAUCCGGUACUCGUUAAGGCUGAGC